Molecule: ribosomal RNA, 430 nt
Filed under: Acidobacteriota bacterium
Lineage: Bacteria; Pseudomonadati; Acidobacteriota
Description: Acidobacteria bacterium partial 16S ribosomal RNA
Rfam family: Bacterial small subunit ribosomal RNA
Source: RNAcentral
UGGGGAAUAUUGGACAAUGGGCGGAAGCCUGAUCCAGCCAUGCCGCGUGUGUGAAGAAGGCCUUUUGGUUGUAAAGCACUUUAAGCGAGGAGGAGGCUACUUGGAUUAAUACUCUAGGAUAGUGGACGUUACUCGCAGAAUAAGCACCGGCUAACUCUGUGCCAGCAGCCGCGGUAAUACAGAGGGUGCGAGCGUUAAUCGGAUUUACUGGGCGUAAAGCGUGCGUAGGCGGCUUCUUAAGUCGGAUGUGAAAUCCCUGAGCUUAACUUAGGAAUUGCAUUCGAUACUGGGAAGCUAGAGUAUGGGAGAGGAUGGUAGAAUUCCAGGUGUAGCGGUGAAAUGCGUAGAGAUCUGGAGGAAUACCGAUGGUGAAGGCAGCCAUCUGGCCUAAUACUGACGCUGAGGUACGAAAGCAUGGGGAGCAAACAGG